CGGACGGGUGAGUAAUGUCUGGGAAACUGCCCGAUGGAGGGGAAUAACUACUGGAAACGGUAGCUAAUACCGCAUAAUGUCUACGGACCAAAGCGGGGGACCUCCGGGCCUCGCGCCAUCAGAUGAACCCAUAUGGGAUUAGCUUGUAGGUAAGGUAACGGCCUACCUAGGCGACGAUCCCUAGCUGGUCUGAGAGGAUGAUCAGCCACACUGGGACUGAGACACGGCCCAG
RNAcentral lists this ribosomal RNA (232 nucleotides) under uncultured bacterium. RNAcentral's name for it is "partial 16S ribosomal RNA". It matches the Rfam family "Bacterial small subunit ribosomal RNA", at positions 99 to 334 of the family's 1533-position model. The record is from RNAcentral.